RNAcentral lists this transfer RNA (76 nucleotides) under Solirubrobacterales bacterium. Its description in RNAcentral is "tRNA-Lys". It matches the Rfam family "tRNA". From Rfam's summary of the family: Transfer RNA (tRNA) molecules are approximately 80 nucleotides in length. Their secondary structure includes four short double-helical elements and three loops (D, anti-codon, and T loops). Lineage: Bacteria; Bacillati; Actinomycetota; Thermoleophilia; Solirubrobacterales. The record is from RNAcentral.
GGGCCGUUAGCUCAACUGGCAGAGCAGGGGCCUCUUAAGCCCAAGGUUGAAGGUUCGAGUCCUUCACGGCCCACUA